ACGGAGACGGCGUCCGGCGGCUUCCAGAAUGGCUAGCCGGGCCCCUCCCCCGCCCCGCGCGCCCGGUCAACGUCUGCUGCCGGCGGUGCCUACUAACCUGCUAGUGGGGGAGCCCCGCACCGCCGCGACCAAUCCGCUCCUGCGCUAACCGGACCGGCAGCCAGUGGGCAGGCGGGAAAGCCGGACUAAGCCCCAAGGCAUCCUGGGAGUCGUAGUUUUUCUCCGUGGAAGAGCUCCUGCCGCGUGGGCUCACCCCGCCCAGUUGCCAUUAGUUACCCUGACGCACCUCCCACCCCACAUCCAAGGAAAAUGCUCCCUCAUGUGGUUUCUGGGACACCCAUCACACUCACCCAUUGCCCCUCAGAGCCCGACGGAGUCUCCUAAGAGCUCCACAGAGACUUUUCAGACUGGGGCCCCAGUGCCUCCCUCCCAUCCCCCAGAGCCGAGCUUCAUCUUACUUCUUCCUGCCCUGGGGGGCUGCUGAAAUGGCACAUUCCUCACUCUUGCUCCUGGGCCUGAAGGAGGCGGAUAAAAGGUAAUCAGUCCUACAACCAAGUGGCUUGGACGGGAGCCAGCCACACACACUCUGGAAACUCUCAGCCUGACCGAGAGAGAGAGACGGGGUCCAUCUGGGACUAACGGUGGAAGCACUGCUGUUUCCCGCCUCGAAGGAAGAGGCAGUUCCAGCCUAGCGGAGUGCCAAGUCUGAUGGAGGAGACACCGUCCUCUCUAAGGAAGUUCCCAAGGUGACAAGGGAGGAGGCAUCUUGCCCAACUUCUGAAGGCAGAGACCAGGCCCCACCCAUGAGGCGCCUCAAGUCAGAAAAAGAAGAUACUGUCAUCAUCUACUGAGAAUGGAAACUUGUCACUCACCCAUAGGGAUCCUUAGUUUUGGUUUUUCACUAUUAAUAAAAUGGCUGCUGCAGCAUCAAGCAUCGUAUCUAUGAUAAAGACAAGAAGAAUUGGGAGGUGGAGGAAGCAUCACUAGAUGCCUUUUAUUAAGAAAGCAAAAGCUUUUUUAGGAACCCCCAACGGAGGAGUGUAUCUUACUUGCCAAAACUGUCUUAUAACUACCUGCAAGGUAGGAUUGGGAAAGUCUGGAAGCAAUUAUUUAGCAUUUCCAGCUGCUAUAUUGCAGGAGGAAGCCAAGCAAAAGAGAUUAAUGAAUUAUUAUUGGCAAGCCACACUAGGAAUACCUACUACAGAAUCUUUUAAGAUGAUAGUUUCGCGCAUAACUCAGUCCAGUGGCCACACCCAGUUGUAUAUGGUUAGACUCUCAGCAGUGCCAGGGUUCCUAGUACCAAUCAAAUCAGGGAGACACCUUCCGAUAAUCAAACUCCGAGAAAACAGAUCAAAUAGUAUUCCAGUGUUUUAAUCUACAUGGGGAAUAAUUAACCUUGCAGACAAUAGACCAAGGUUCCUUUCCCAGGGACCAGGUUAGUGCACGAAGGCACUAAAAAGCUGAGACUCUGUUACCUGUUGGAUGAGCAGAUUAUUUAGCCUCUUUAUGCCUCUGUGAAUAGAGUAUACCAUAUGCCACUAUCUACUUGACAGAAGCUAUAAAUAGAAAUUAGCAGUAUGUAUGUAGAACGCAUUGAAAUUGUGACAUUCAAAUUUUAAAAUACUGAUGAAUUGGAGGACUGACACUUCCUAACUUCAAGACAUAUUACAAAGCUGUAAUAAAAAAAAAAAAAAAAGCUGUAAUAAUCAAGACAGUGUGGUAUUGGCAGAAGCAUAGACAAAUAUAUUAAUGGAACAAAAUAGAGAACCCUGACAAAGACUCACACAUAUAUAGUCAACUGAUUGUUGACAAUGAAGCAAAGAUUAUUUAAUAGAGAAAAAGUCUUUUUCUCAAGAAACGAUGCUGGAGUAACUGGACAUCCAUGUACAAAAAAAAAAAAACAAAAACCCAAAAAACUAAAUGUUGCCCUUAUAUCUUUCACAAAAA
Molecule: long non-coding RNA, 1947 nt
Organism: Canis lupus familiaris (dog)
Lineage: Eukaryota; Metazoa; Chordata; Mammalia; Carnivora; Canidae
Exons: 2
Source: RefSeq, a predicted model, not a curated record